Jaculus jaculus (lesser Egyptian jerboa) is the source of this 134-nucleotide small nucleolar RNA. Lineage: Eukaryota; Metazoa; Chordata; Mammalia; Rodentia; Dipodidae. The record is from Ensembl.
UAGUUCUGCCUUUGAGCCCCUGCCGCACCUGCACGUAGCCGUGGCGUCUAGCUGCAGAGCCACAGUAUGUGCUCACGCAUAACUGGGGCCACUCGGCCUGCCCUGGGCGACCCCUUUAACUGCAAGCCACAUCG